Molecule: ribosomal RNA, 372 nt
Filed under: uncultured organism
Description: partial 16S ribosomal RNA
Rfam family: Bacterial small subunit ribosomal RNA
Source: RNAcentral
GUAGGUGGCAAGCGUUGUCCGGAGUUAUUGGGCGUAAAGCGCGCGCAGGUGGUUCUUUAAGUCUGAUGUGAAAGCCCCCGGCUCAACCGGGGAGGGUCAUUGGAAACUGGGGAACUUGAGUGCAGGAGAGGAAAGUGGAAUUCCACGUGUAGCGGUGAAAUGCGUAGAUAUGUGGAGGAACACCAGUGGCGAAGGCGACUUUCUGGCCUGUAACUGACACUGAGGCGCGAAAGCGUGGGGAGCAAACAGGGAUUAGAUACCCUGGUAGUCCACGCCGUAAACGAUGAGUGCUAAGUGUUGGGGGGUUUCCCGCCCCUCAGUGCUGCAGCUAACGCAUUAAGCACUCCGCCUGGGGAUACGGUCGCAAGACUG